CCUACGGGAGGCAGCAGUGGGAAUAUUGCACAAUGGGCGAAAGCNUGAUGCAGCGACGCCGCGUGGGGGAUGACGGCCUUCGGGUUGUAAACCCCUUUCAGUAGGGAAGAAGCGAAAGUGACGGUACCUGCAGAAGAAGCGCCGGCUAACUACGUGCCAGCAGCCGCGGUAAUACGUAGGGCGCAAGCGUUGUCCGGAAUUAUUGGGCGUAAAGAGCUCGUAGGUGGCUUGUCGCGUCUGCCGUGAAAACCCGAGGCUCAACCUCGGGCGUGCGGUGGGUACGGGCAGGCUAGAGUGUGGUAGGGGAGACUGGAACUCCUGGUGUAGCGGUGAAAUGCGCAGAUAUCAGGAAGAACACCGAUGGCGAAGGCAGGUCUCUGGGCCAUUACUGACACUGAGGAGCGAAAGCAUGGGUAGCGAACAGGAUUAGAUACCCUGGUAGUCCAUGCCGUAAACGUUGGGCACUAGAUGUGGGGGACAUUCCACGUUUUCCGCGUCGUAGCUAACGCAUUAAGUGCCCCGCCUGGGGAGUACGGCCGCAAGGCUAAAACUCAAAUGAAUUGACGGGG
RNAcentral lists this ribosomal RNA (569 nucleotides) under uncultured Brachybacterium sp. Its description in RNAcentral is "bacterial SSU rRNA". It matches the Rfam family "Bacterial small subunit ribosomal RNA", at positions 338 to 918 of the family's 1533-position model. The record is from RNAcentral. Lineage: Bacteria; Bacillati; Actinomycetota; Actinomycetes; Micrococcales; Dermabacteraceae.